Molecule: ribosomal RNA, 731 nt
Filed under: uncultured bacterium
Lineage: Bacteria
Description: bacterial SSU rRNA
Rfam family: Bacterial small subunit ribosomal RNA
Source: RNAcentral
CCUGGUGUAGCGGUGAAAAUGCGCAGAUAUCAGGAAGAACACCCGUGGCUAAGGCGGCUCUCUAGUACGGUACUGACGCUGAGACGCGAAAGCAUGGGGAGCGAACAGGAUUAGAUACCCUGGUAGUCCAUGCCGUAAACGUUGGGAACUAGGUGUGGGUCUCAUUCCACGAGAUCCGUGCCGCAGCUAACGCAUUAAGUUCCCCGCCUGGGGAGUACGGCCGCAAGGCUAAAACUCAAAGGAAUUGACGGGGGCCCGCACAAGCGGCGGAGCAUGCGGAUUAAUUCGAUGCAACGCGAAGAACCUUACCAAGGCUUGACAUACACCGGAAUCACUCAGAGAUGGGUGCGUCUUCGGACUGGUGUACAGGUGGUGCAUGGUUGUCGUCAGCUCGUGUCGUGAGAUGUUGGGUUAAGUCCCGCAACGAGCGCAACCCUCGUUCUAUGUUGCCAGCACGUCAUGGUGGGGACUCAUAGGAGACUGCCGGGGUCAACUCGGAGGAAGGUGGGGAUGACGUCAAAUCAUCAUGCCCCUUAUGUCUUGGGCUUCACGCAUGCUACAAUGGCCGGUACAAAGGGCUGCGAAACCGCGAGGUGGAGCGAAUCCCAAAAAACCGGUCUCAGUUCGGAUUGGGGUCUGCAACUCGACCCCAUGAAGUCGGAGUCGCUAGUAAUCGCAGAUCAGCAACGCUGCGGUGAAUACGUUCCCGGGCCUUGUACACACCGCCCGUA